GGCUCAUCAAUCGAGGUUUAGAAGAUGGUUUCAUUAUUAGCUUUCGAGGCAAUAAAUAGCCUAAGUAGAAUGAGAAAAAAAAAUAGUACCCUAAUGGGCAAAAGGAAGGAAACAAAAUAAGGCUCAACCAAGACAAUCAGCUUAUAGAAAUAAAUAAUUAACCACAAUGCUAAUUAAUGAAAGACAACACAAAGAGCAUACACGGGGACACGACUUCUCAUCUUCCUCAUGUUCUAACUUCACCCCUCAAACGAUACGGAGCUUCCAGCAUGUUGAGUUUGUUUCUCAUCUCUUUGAAUUUUGCUUCUGAUAAACUACCGUAUAUCCAAUUGCUUUGCCAGCACCGUGUCUCGAAUGAAAUGGAGGUCAAUUUCGACGUGCUUACUUCUUGAAUGAAGAACUGGGUUGGCGGCUAAAGCAAGAUUACUGGUGUUAUCACACCAAAUUAUUGGAAGAAAGUGCGGCAACAACCCAAUUUCCUUUAAAAUUGAUUGAGUCCAGCUUAGUUCGGCAGUGGCGUGAACGAGGGCUCUGUAUUCGGCUUUGGUGCUUGACCGAGUCACCACCUUUUGUUUUCUAGAGGCCCACGAGAUCAAGGAGUUUCCAAGAAACACAAGAUAGGCUAAAAUUGAACGUCGAUCGUCUGGAUUGCAGGCCCAGUCAGCAUCCGAAAAGGCAGUAAGGAGCUAGUAUAUGUGGCGACUGUUAGCCAUUUUACACGUCGCGAGAUUCCUGGCGUGAUAUCUGUUGAUGCAUUAAUAAUGCUCUCCCAAACCCUUUCGAGGCCCGCACCAGACUCGAUUAUUAGGGAAUCGAAGACCUGCAAAAUCUAACAAAGCUAGACCGGUUUGACUCUUGUCACACGGGCUCCGACUCCUAAGUUAGCAAGGAGAGUAGUUGAGCAAUAGAAUUCAAAUGUAGAAUUUGGCUUACCUUAGGGUUAGGCUACAUGGCCUAUUUAUAGUCGCUCGCAAGGUUCUAGACCCCUCUAAAUAAGCCCUAGCUCGUCGCUACAAGGCCCAAGGUGCAUGGAGAUCAGAAGAGGGCGAUUACCUGGCUUGGCAAUGGGUCGAACCCAGCUCGGUACCGAGCGAUGCUCGGCUCGGUCCGGUUCUUCCGGUGGCCUCUUUGGUCCUCUCCUGUUUGGUUGGUCUAUUGCUUUGUCGUUUUUCCUCUGUAUAACAGUUGCCCCCUACUCCCAAGGCGAUGCUUUUGAUUUUGUCUCCAUCUCCUUGGGAGUAUGUUGAUAGGAGUGUUGGAGCGCGUGAAUAAGGAGCUUUACCGGGGGUAGUCAAAUCGUACUUACUCUUUCAUAUUUUGCUAAAUGGCAUAAAUGAAGGACCUUCUUGGCUGUCGCGCCCCCAUAGUUGUCGUGACUUGUCAUUCUAUGCCAGGUCCAUGACCAAGGAGGUCACGAACUCCUCUGGUACCGAGUGAAGCAUGCCUCGGUCUCAUGGUUGAAGUCCUUCAGUCAAAGCCAGUUGAGUUGCCCCAUCAUUGUGAGACUCGAAAGGGUCACGAGUUGAAUUGUCCCCUCCCCGUAAGAUACGUGAUCGAGAAUAUCACGGGUUCCUCGGGUACCGAGCCAAGUAAGCCUCGGACCAAUGUUCAAAGACCAUCAAACCAAGAGCUAUGCUCCUAUGUUGAAAGCUAUUUAAACCCCCUUCAACCCUUCCAAUGUCGAUCAUCCCUUCAACUAAGGUACAUUUCUCUUUACUUUGCUUUUGUUGUGUUUCCUUACCACUAUGACAUCUGAUCUUAACUUUGAAUAGACUUUUUCGGAUGACGGGUCAUCGUCGAACCCUUCUUCUGUGUCUCGACCUUACCGACCCUCUUGGGUAGAUUAUUCCACUCUUACGGCGAGGGACCACGUCGUUUGCAUUCGAAGUAUCGCAUUCCUGAUUCAGUUAGCCUUCACCUUCUGAAUCCAGGAGAAAGUAUUGGCGGGUCUUUCCUUUGAGAGGUUGUAUUUUAUGCAGCCAUGUUCCAAUUCGGUGUUCGUUUACCGUUGCCUCUAUUUCUUCAAAAUUUCAUAGCUUUGAAUCAAGUAGCUCCUUCUCAAAUUGUUCCCAACGGGUGGUCUACCCUGAUUAGUUGCUUCAUUUUGUGGUCCUACCUCGGGGGUGAACAACCUCUAACCGCAGCCCAUUUUAUGUCGCUCUAUUUCCUCAAGCAUAGCCCUGAGGAUAAUUUUCAUUUUUACAUUAGCUCUCGGAAUAAGAUUCUCGUUAUGGUUCCUUCCUCAGUGAAGCAUUGGAAGGACAGGUGGUUCCUUGUCGGUGGCGACUGGCUAGCCCGUGACGAGAGAGGAAUGCAUUUUUCCGUCCCGACUGAGUGUAGGGAGCUAGGUAAAGUAGAUUCCCGAGCUCUAUCGGGACUUUUCGUAGAUCUUUAUUCUGAUAUUUUUCUUCCUUUGUUGAUAGUUCCUCAUAAUUGUGAGCCUACUGCCGAGGCGUUUGACUUCUACCACACUUUCAUCUAGUUGCUGGAAACCGGGCGUUGGGGCCCGAAUCUAGUUAAGGAACAAAAUCUAGAAGACUUUGGCUUGGCUCCCCCUCAUUACCCUCCAGGUAAUCGCUGAAAACUAUUCCAAAUAUUUCAUGAGAGUUGAUUUUCACCUUCACCCAUUUUGUAGAAAUGUCGAGAUGGAGCGCCUCCCUAUUUGAAAGAGAGCGUCGCCGGAAUGCUUGGGACUCAGGGGUCGGCUCCAGUCGGACCUCAGACAUCGAGGUGACCGAUUUGACAGAGGAAGACCCUUCAUCUCGACAAGCUCGGCCUCCAAUGCCUUAUGCAACACCCCGAUGUUUUGCUUGGCUUCAAGGGACGACUAUCCCCUCUUCCUUUCGCAGUCACCCAGGGACCUCCUCUUAUGUUUCAAUUUUCCCUUUCUCUUGUCCGUACAACGCUGAUGUCGACAAGGCAAUUUAGCUGGAGAGAGCGUUUAGCCUUUGGCAAGGGCUCAGAGAAUCGUCGAGUGGGUCGGAUUUCGGCUUGUCGGAUCCUCGGCACAACAUCAAUGCAUGCAUUAGCGAUCUCCAUCAGGUUUUUAAUCGUCUGGUGGUAUUCUCGGGUCGAGUUGCAGAUGAGAUCAACCACCUUCGCUGUCAUUAUGCCCCUCAAGAGGAGUUGGAUCGAGCUCUCUCCUCCUUGGAUCAGGCCAAUAGCCUCUUGGAGAGCGCUCGACGUGAGUUGGAAACUGAGAAGAGAAAAUCCCGAGAUGAACUCGCCAACCUGCAAAUGAUGCUUGAUGAGGCCAACUCACAGCCCUCCAACUUUGAAUUCUUGGCCGGAGAAUUCAGGAAAUCGGAAGAGUAUGUUGAUUUACAGAAUGUUGCCAUGGAGUGUGGCGUCUCCUAGUCUCUUCGCCAAGUUUCUACCAAGCAUCCCAACAUUGACUACUUCUUUCUCCAGGAACGCUUUAAAGUCGAGCGUGAUGCCCCCAACGACAUGGAUGAUGACGACGACGAUGAGUAGGAUGGUGGAGAGCCACUUUGUCUGGUUGAUCGCUUUUAUGAUCUGGCUAUUGUUAUGUUGUUGUCUUGUCUUUAUUUGUAGCUACCUUUGGAAUUAUCAAUCAAUUCUCUAUUACCAAAAAUUAUUGGCUUACGGCUCUAACUUUGAUGGAGCUGAUUUUCGUUGCCUUUACUUCUCAUAGGUUUCUAACCCCUUGGCUGUGGCCAAUGGUUUUGUACCUUUAGCUACUGUUGUUUGGCUUUUGAUUUUGUUUCAUCUUGUGUUU
Momordica charantia (bitter melon) is the source of this 3739-nucleotide long non-coding RNA. RefSeq lists it as uncharacterized. Lineage: Eukaryota; Viridiplantae; Streptophyta; Magnoliopsida; Cucurbitales; Cucurbitaceae. The record is from RefSeq and is a predicted model, not a curated record.